RNAcentral lists this ribosomal RNA (427 nucleotides) under uncultured bacterium. Its description in RNAcentral is "partial 16S ribosomal RNA". It matches the Rfam family "Bacterial small subunit ribosomal RNA", at positions 355 to 774 of the family's 1533-position model. The record is from RNAcentral.
GGGGGAAUAUUGGACAAUGGGCGAAAGCCUGAUCCAGCCAUGCCGCGUGUGUGAAGAAGGUCUUCGGAUUGUAAAGCACUUUAAGUUGGGAGGAAGGGCAUUAACCUAAUACGUUAGUGUUUUGACGUUACCGACAGAAUAAGCACCGGCUAACUCUGUGCCAGCAGCCGCGGUAAUACAGAGGGUGCAAGCGUUAAUCGGAAUUACUGGGCGUAAAGCGCGCGUAGGUGGUUUGUUAAGUUGGAUGUGAAAUCCCCGGGCUCAACCUGGGAACUGCAUUCAAAACUGACUGACUAGAGUAUGGUAGAGGGUGGUGGAAUUUCCUGUGUAGCGGUGAAAUGCGUAGAUAUAGGAAGGAACACCAGUGGCGAAGGCGACCACCUGGACUAAUACUGACACUGAGGUGCGAAAGCGAGGGGAGCAAACA